CCACCCUCUCCAUCGAGCAUACAUAGAAAGUGUUAAUCUAUCCGGAACAUUGAUCUCCUACUCAAUACUCCUAUGACUAGGAAUAUUUUAAAUCAGGAUUUUUAGGAUUUUAGGUCUCAUAGGUAUGAUCUCAUCAUAAUCCUAAAUCUAUUUUUCUGAUUUAUGGAGUUCAUCAUAAUCAUUACUAAAGUAAGAUGCAGCAUAUGAUGAAAAAUACCUUUUAUUAUUUAAAGAGUCAAUACAUAAGUCUGGAAGAUUACAAGGAAAACCUAUCAAAAUACAAAUCUCGAUUAGCUUGUAGGGCAUAU
Molecule: long non-coding RNA, 308 nt
Filed under: Elaeis guineensis (African oil palm)
Lineage: Eukaryota; Viridiplantae; Streptophyta; Magnoliopsida; Arecales; Arecaceae
Description: long non-coding RNA (EGUI_LNC046146)
Source: RNAcentral